GACGAACGCUGGCGGCGUGCUUAACACAUGCAAGUCGAACGGAAAGGUCCUGCUUUUGUGGGGUGCUCGAGUGGCGAACGGGUGAGUAACACGUGAGUAACCUGCCCUUGACUUUGGGAUAACUUCAGGAAACUGGGGCUAAUACCGGAUAGGAGCUCCUGCUGCAUGGUGGGGGUUGGAAAGUUUCGGCGGUUGGGGAUGGACUCGCGGCUUAUCAGCUUGUUGGUGGGGUAGUGGCUUACCAAGGCUUUGACGGGUAGCCGGCCUGAGAGGGUGACCGGCCACAUUGGGACUGAGAUACGGCGCAGACUCCUACGGGAGGCAUCAGUGGGGAAUAUUGCACAAUGGGCGGAAGCCUGAUGCAGCAACGCCGCGUGCGGGAUGACGGCCUUCGGGUUGUAAACCGCUUUCGCCUGUGACGAAGCGUGAGUGACGGUAAUGGGUAAAGAAGCACCGGCUAACUACGUG
Molecule: ribosomal RNA, 468 nt
Filed under: uncultured bacterium
Lineage: Bacteria
Description: partial 16S ribosomal RNA
Rfam family: Bacterial small subunit ribosomal RNA
Source: RNAcentral